Molecule: ribosomal RNA, 492 nt
Filed under: uncultured bacterium
Lineage: Bacteria
Description: partial 16S ribosomal RNA
Rfam family: Bacterial small subunit ribosomal RNA
Source: RNAcentral
AGUGAACGCUGGCGGUAGGCCUAACACAUGCAAGUCGAACGGCAGCACAGUAAGAGCUUGCCCUUACGGGUGGCGAGUGGCGGACGGGUGAGGAAUACAUCGGAAUCUACUUUUUCGUGGGGGAUAACGUAGGGAAACUUACGCUAGUACCGCAUACGACCUACGGGUGAAAGCAGGGGAUCUUCGGACCUUGCGCGAUUGAAUGAGCCGAUGUCGGAUUAGCUAGUUGGCGGGGUAAAGGCCCACCAAGGCGACGAUCCGUAGCUGGUCUGAGAGGAUGAUCAGCCACACUGGAACUGAGACACGGUCCAGACUCCUACGGGAGGCAGCAGUGGGGAAUAUUGGACAAUGGGCGCAAGCCUGAUCCAGCCAUACCGCGUGGGUGAAGAAGGCCUUCGGGUUGUAAAGCCCUUUUGUUGGGAAAGAAAAGCAGCAGGUUAAUACCCCGCUGUUCUGACGGUACCCAAAGAAUAAGCACCGGCUAACUUCGUG